GAUGAACGCUAGCUACAGGCUUAACACAUGCAAGUCGAGGGGAAACGACAUCGAAAGCUUGCUUUUGAUGGGCGUCGAACGGCGCACGGGUGAGUAACGCGUAUCCAACCUGCCCACCACUUGGGGAUAACCUUGCGAAAGUAAGACUAAUACCCAAUGACUUCUCUAGAAGCCAUCUGAAAGAGAUUAAAGAUUUAUCGGUGAUGGAUGGGGAUGCGUCUGAUUAGCUUGUUGGCGGGGUAACGGCCCACCAAGGCGACGAUCAGUAGGGGUUCUGAGAGGAAGGUCGCCGACAUGGGAACUGGGACACGGUCCAAACUCCUACGGGAGGCAGCAGUGAGGAAUAUUAGUCAGUGGACGGGAGUCUGAACCAGCCAAGUAGCGUGCAGGAUGACGGCCCUAUGGGUUGUAAACUGCUUUUAGAAGGGAAUAAAGUGAGUCUCGUGAGACUUUUUGCAUGUACCGUAUGAAUAAGGACCGGCUAAUUCCGUG
This 492-nucleotide ribosomal RNA is filed under the name uncultured bacterium. RNAcentral's name for it is "partial 16S ribosomal RNA". It matches the Rfam family "Bacterial small subunit ribosomal RNA", at positions 28 to 507 of the family's 1533-position model. The record is from RNAcentral.